Long non-coding RNA from Lycium barbarum (goji berry), 551 nucleotides. RefSeq lists it as uncharacterized. The transcript is spliced from 3 exons. Lineage: Eukaryota; Viridiplantae; Streptophyta; Magnoliopsida; Solanales; Solanaceae. The record is from RefSeq and is a predicted model, not a curated record.
ACUUCUACAACUCUCUCAACAAGUCUUCUUAUGAUCUAAGACCAAAAUCACGGGCAAACCAAGUGAUUCUAACAUGAAGAAUUCCAUCAUCAUCACUAGAUUGUUCUUCCUCUUGUGGUGUUGAAUUUGGAGACUUCUUGGAGGUGAAGGAAUUUCGAACUUAGAGUGAUCCUUGUGAUUGAAGGUUAUGAACCCAUCGUUGAUACGGAUACUUCGUUUACUGUAGAUAAUCAUUCAUAGAGUGUAUGAGGACUCGUGGGAUCCGUAUACUAAGAAGACAAGGAAAGCAGGGAGACGGAUCAGGUCCUUAGGAGCUUCAUCAGCGGAGUUUCAAGAGCGCUCCAUUUGUUUCGAAGCUGCAGUUUAUUGGUAUUACUCUUUUGUAUAGAUAUACUUGGCCAUGGCGGAGUCCUGCUCCGUCUUUAUGGAUUCAUGUAUUCUAUAUAGAGAUUUGUAGACAGAUGUAUCUAGAUAACCUUAUCAGUUCAUAUUGUUGUAUAAUAUUUUGACAGUCUUGUCGGCUUAUGGCGAUGGACAUAGUUGUUGAUGAU